RNAcentral lists this ribosomal RNA (301 nucleotides) under uncultured bacterium. RNAcentral's name for it is "partial 16S ribosomal RNA". It matches the Rfam family "Bacterial small subunit ribosomal RNA", at positions 509 to 807 of the family's 1533-position model. The record is from RNAcentral.
CAGCCGCCACGGGAAUACGGAGUGAGCUAGCGUUGGUCGGAAUUACUGGGCGUAAAGCGCACGUAGGCGGUUUAUCAAGUCAGAGGUGAAAGCCCGGGGCUCAACCCCGGAACUGCCUUUGAAACUAGUAGACCUGAAUCUUGGAGAGGUCAGUGGAAUUCCGAGUGUAGAGGUGAAAUUCGUAGAUAUUCGGAAGAACACCAGUGGCGAAGGCGACUGACUGGACAAGUAUUGACGCUGAGGUGCGAAAGCGUGGGGAGCAAACAGGAUUAGAUACCCGUGUAGUCCCUGUCUCUUAUAC